AUUGAACGCUGGCGGCAGGCCUAACACAUGCAAGUCGAACGAGUGGCGGACGGGUGAGUAAUGUCUGGGAAACUGCCCGAUGGAGGGGGAUAACUACUGGAAACGGUAGCUAAUACCGCGUACCAUCGGAUGUGCCCAGAUGGGAUUAGCUUGUAGGUGAGGUAACGGCUCACCUAGGCGACGAUCCCUAGCUGGUCUGAGAGGAUGACCAGUAACACUGGAACUGAGAAAAGGUCCAGACUCCUGAGGGGGGAGGCAGGUGGGAAGAUUGCACAAUGGGCGCAAGCCUGAUGCAGCCAGGCCGUGUGGAUGAAGAAUGCCUUCGGGUUGUAAAUUAAGUGCGGCGGGGAGGCGUUGCCCGCAUAAGAAGCAACGGCUAACUCCGUGCCAGCAGCGGCGGGAAUUC
This 406-nucleotide ribosomal RNA is filed under the name uncultured bacterium. Its description in RNAcentral is "partial 16S ribosomal RNA". It matches the Rfam family "Bacterial small subunit ribosomal RNA", at positions 29 to 526 of the family's 1533-position model. The record is from RNAcentral.